ACCCUGAGAUCAUGACUUGAGCUGAAAUCAAGAGUUGGACACUCAACCACCUGAGCCACCCUAGUGCCCCGAGAAAUGAAGUAUUUUGAUUCGGGUCACACGGCCAGUAUGUCUCAGUGAUGACAUCCAAAUCUGUUUUUUUGGAUGUGAAUGCUGAAGAGAGAAGAAACCAUGAACAGAACUGAGGACUCAUAUGGCGGAAGGAGCUGGUCUUGCCUGAUGGUGAAACUGAGGCCCAGGAGAGUGAAAUAACUUGCCCUCAGCUCACACAGUGGGUGAUGGUCAGAAUUGGAAGCCAGGCCUGGUUGAUGCCAAAAUCUGAACACCUGCCGUGAGUCACAUUUCCAGAGGGGAGGUACACAGCUAGUGGCUUUCUAGGAACCAUCUCAGCAGAAAGAAGUCCCUCACUGCUCUGAGCCCUGUG
This is a long non-coding RNA of Herpailurus yagouaroundi (jaguarundi), 424 nucleotides long. RefSeq lists it as uncharacterized. The transcript is spliced from 3 exons. The record is from RefSeq and is a predicted model, not a curated record. Lineage: Eukaryota; Metazoa; Chordata; Mammalia; Carnivora; Felidae.